Molecule: long non-coding RNA, 432 nt
Organism: Zophobas morio
Lineage: Eukaryota; Metazoa; Arthropoda; Insecta; Coleoptera; Tenebrionidae
Exons: 4
Source: RefSeq, a predicted model, not a curated record
UAUUAACAUCACUUUUAAAUGUUGUAAUAUUAUUUUUCAGAAGAAGCGAUAGAUGAUGAUACAUUCUCAAAAAUUAACACAGAUUCACAAGAUUUCAAAGAACUGAUUGCAAAGUAUGGGGACAGAAUUAAAUUUAAAGAAGGUUUUAGACAGUUGUACAAUAGAAUUGACGAAGAAAAUGUAAUAACAGAUAAUAACUGCUUAGAAACAAUAGUAGUUAAGACAAAUGAUGCUCCUAGUGAUACUUCAGUUUACAAAGAGACACAAGAACCCAUUCCCAGCACUAGUAAAGGCACGUGCUCUACAGUUUAUAGAGUGGAUGAUAAUUUACCUUUAGAUAUUGUACCGGUACCGUAUAAACGGUGUGAUUCGUUUUUGGAAAAACUUCCAAAUCUGGAAGUGACAUACGAGCUUGAUUUGAAAAAAUGUUUG